CGGGAAGUCCUCGUGUUGCAUCCCU
Molecule: small RNA, 25 nt
Filed under: Arabidopsis thaliana (thale cress)
Lineage: Eukaryota; Viridiplantae; Streptophyta; Magnoliopsida; Brassicales; Brassicaceae
Description: AGO4_00495
Source: RNAcentral